CUCAGGACGAACGCUGGCGGCGUGCGUAAUACAUGCAAGUCGAACGCUUUUUCUUUCACCGGAGCUUGCUCCACCGAAAGAAAAAGAGUGGCGAACGGGUGAGUAACACGUGGGUAACCUGCCCAUCAGAAGGGGAUAACACUUGGAAACAGGUGCUAAUACCGUAUAACACUAUUUUCCGCAUGGAAGAAAGUUGAAAGGCGCUUUUGCGUCACUGAUGGAUGGACCCGCGGUGCAUUAGCUAGUUGGUGAGGUAACGGCUCACCAAGGCAACGAUGCAUAGCCGACCUGAGAGGGUGAUCGGCCACACUGGGACUGAGACACGGCCCAGACUCCUACGGGAGGCAGCAGUAGGGAAUCUUCGGCAAUGGACGAAAGUCUGACCGAGCAACGCCGCGUGAGUGAAGAAGGUUUUCGGAUCGUAAAACUCUGUUGUUAGAGAAGAACAAGGAUGAGAGUAAAAUGUUCAUCCCUUGACGGUAUCUAACCAGAAAGCCACGGCUAACUACGUGCCAGCAGCCGCGGUAAUACGUAGGUGGCAAGCGUUGUCCGGAUUUAUUGGGCGUAAAGCGAGCGCAGGCGGUUUCUUAAGUCUGAUGUGAAAGCCCCCGGCUCAACCGGGGAGGGUCAUUGGAAACUGGGAGACUUGAGUGCAGAAGAGGAGAGUGGAAUUCCAUGUGUAGCGGUGAAAUGCGUAGAUAUAUGGAGGAACACCAGUGGCGAAGGCGGCUCUCUGGUCUGUAACUGACGCUGAGGCUCGAAAGCGUGGGGAGCGAACAGGAUUAG
Molecule: ribosomal RNA, 786 nt
Filed under: Enterococcus casseliflavus
Lineage: Bacteria; Bacillati; Bacillota; Bacilli; Lactobacillales; Enterococcaceae
Description: bacterial SSU rRNA
Rfam family: Bacterial small subunit ribosomal RNA
Source: RNAcentral